AAACCACCUUCGGGUGGUGGACAGUGGCGCACGGGUGAGUAACGCGUGGGAACGUACCUUUUAGUACGGAACAACCAUUAGAAAUGAUGGCUAAUACCGUAUAGUCCCUCCGGGGUAAAGAUUUAUCGCUAAAAGAUCGGCCCGCGUCCAAUUAGCUAGUUGGUAAGGUAAUGGCUUACCAAGGCGACGAUUGGUAGCUGGUUUGAGAGGAUGAUCAGCCACACUGGAACUGAGACACGGUCCAGACUCCUACGGGAGGCAGCAGUGGGGAAUAUUGCGCAAUGGAGGAAACUCUGACGCAGCCAUGCCGCGUGAGUGAAGAAGGCCUUCGGGUUGUAAAGCUCUUUUACCUGUGAUGAUAAUGACAGUAGCAGGAGAAAAAGCUCCGGCUAACUUCGUGCCAGCAGCCGCGGUAAUACGAAGGGAGCGAGCGUUGUUCGGAAUUACUGGGCGUAAAGCGUGCGUAGGCGGUUUAGCAAGUUAGAAGUGAAAGCCCUGGGCUCAACCUAGGAAUUGCUUUUAAAACUGCUAAACUAGAAUCUCGGAGGGGAUGGUGGAAUUUCCAGUGUAGAGGUGAAAUUCGUAGAUAUUGGAAGGAACACCAGUGGCGAAGGCGACCAUCUGGACGAGUAUUGACGCUGAGGCACGAAAGCGUGGGGAGCAAACAGGAUUAGAUACCCUGGUAGUCCACGCCGUAAACGAUGUAAACUAGCCGUUGGGAGUCUUAAGGCUUCAGUGACGCAGAGAAAUCAUUAAGCAUACCGCCUGGGGAGUACGGUCGCAAGAUUAAAACUCAAAGGAAUUGACGGGGACCCGCACAAGCGGUGGAGCAUGUUGUUUAAUUCGAAGCAACGCGAAGAACCUUACCCACACUUAACUAUCCUCUUGGGGCUUUCAGAGAUGAUCGCUUUCGGUUCGGCCGGGGAGUGAAUAGGUGCUGCAUGGCUGUCGUCAGCUCGUGUCGUGAGAUGUUAGGUUAAGUCCUGCAACGAGCGCAACCCUUAUCGUAUGUUGCCAUCAUUAAGUUGGGAACUCAUGCGAGACUGCCGGUGUUAAGCCGGAGGAAGGUGGGGACGACGUCAAGUCAUCAUGGCCCUUACGUGUAGGGCUACAAACGUGCUACAAUGGCUACUACAGUGGGCAGCAAACCGGCGACGGUGAGCGAAUCCCCAAAAGUAGUCUCAGUUCGGAUUGUUCUCUGCAACUCGAGAACAUGAAGUCGGAAUCGCUAGUAAUCGUGGAUCAGCAUGCCACGGUGAAUACGUUCCCGGGUCUUGUACACACCGCCCGUCACAUCAUGGGAGUUGAUUCUGCCCGAAGGCCGUGCGCUAACCUCUAGGA
This 1341-nucleotide ribosomal RNA is filed under the name uncultured prokaryote. RNAcentral's name for it is "partial 16S ribosomal RNA". It matches the Rfam family "Bacterial small subunit ribosomal RNA", at positions 71 to 1447 of the family's 1533-position model. The record is from RNAcentral.